RNAcentral lists this microRNA precursor (103 nucleotides) under Marmota monax (woodchuck). The record is from RNAcentral. Lineage: Eukaryota; Metazoa; Chordata; Mammalia; Rodentia; Sciuridae.
AGUGGGAUAGCUGGGUUAAAUGGUGGUUUAAUUCCCAGUGUUCUAAGUAAUCACCAUACUACUUUUUAGAUUGGUUGCACCAAUUUGCAGUCCCACCAGCUAC